AUUGAACGCUGGCGGCAGGCUUAACACAUGCAAGUCGAGCGGGGUGAUGGUGCUUGCACUAUCACUUAGCGGCGGACGGGUGAGUAAUGCUUAGGAAUCUGCCUAUUAGUGGGGGACAACAUCUCGAAAGGGAUGCUAAUACCGCAUACGUCCUACGGGAGAAAGCAGGGGAUCACUUGUGACCUUGCGCUAAUAGAUGAGCCUAAGUCGGAUUAGCUAGUUGGUGGGGUAAAGGCCUACCAAGGCGACGAUCUGUAGCGGGUCUGAGAGGAUGAUCCGCCACACUGGGACUGAGACACGGCCCAGACUCCUACGGGAGGCAGCAGUGGGGAAUAUUGGACAAUGGGGGGAACCCUGAUCCAGCCAUGCCGCGUGUGUGAAGAAGGCCUUAUGGUUGUAAAGCACUUUAAGCGUGGAGGAGGCUACUCUGGUUAAUACCUAAGAUUAGUGGACGUUACUCGCAGAAUAAGCACCGGCUAACUCUGUGCCAGCAGCCGCGGUAA
RNAcentral lists this ribosomal RNA (503 nucleotides) under uncultured bacterium. RNAcentral describes it as "partial 16S ribosomal RNA". It matches the Rfam family "Bacterial small subunit ribosomal RNA", at positions 30 to 523 of the family's 1533-position model. The record is from RNAcentral.